GUGUACGAAUACAUUGUGUGUGAAUACAAAGAAAAGUAAAAACCAUUUGCUUCAGGGUUAAGAAAAAAUUAGUUAUUUCAGAAAUAGUAUUAAGUUUAGGGUUAAGGUGGGAUUAAAGUAUUUUUGUGUUUGGUUGGAGGUUAGAAUUAAGUCAGGAUAGUAAAAAAUAAUGUUUGGUUGGAAUAGGUGGGAUAAGAAGGAUAGUGGAUUGUUAUGAAUAGAAAAGAGUAUUUGGUUAGGGUUUGGUGGGGUUAGGUGGGGUUAGCUAACCCGGGAUAACCCAUUUGAGGUGGGGUUAGCUGGGGUUAGCUAACCCCACCCAUUUUUAGAAGUAUUUGGGAUUAAAAUAGGGGUUAAGGGGUUAUUCCACCCCUUAACCCCCAA
RNAcentral lists this long non-coding RNA (384 nucleotides) under Ananas comosus (pineapple). RNAcentral's name for it is "long non-coding RNA (ACOM_LNC022858)". Lineage: Eukaryota; Viridiplantae; Streptophyta; Magnoliopsida; Poales; Bromeliaceae. The record is from RNAcentral.